UUUCUCGGGUAGGAGAAGAUGAUUCUCUUGCAACACGUGCGGAUUGUGACAAAAUCUUUCAUUAACAAGGGGAGUUUCGGUGAAGUGGAGGUUUGGGGAAAGGCGAGGAGGUCGGUCUGGAGCAAGCAAGCAAAGUGCGGAAGCUGUACGGGGAUUCUUCUAGAAAGUGGGGUGGGAAAGGAGCUAGGGAGGGCGUGUGGAGGGACGAGAUCUGUGUCAGAACGUGCGUGUGAGCGGAUACAAAACCCGAGAGAGGCGUGAGCAGCGCUGUGUGUGCGAGCGGGAGCGAGGGGCGCCGGCUGGGGUGUGUGCUCCUGAGCUCUUCAGAACCCAGGCUGCUUUCAGGAACAUUGCUGUGGAUUCCCAGGUGACCAA
RNAcentral lists this long non-coding RNA (375 nucleotides) under Pan troglodytes (chimpanzee). RNAcentral's name for it is "long non-coding RNA NONPTRT010871". The record is from RNAcentral. Lineage: Eukaryota; Metazoa; Chordata; Mammalia; Primates; Hominidae.